ACUAGUGAUUGGGGGGACGGGGCGCAGCAGGCGCGAAAACUUUACAAUGCGGGAAACCGUGAUAAGGGGAUCUCGAGUGCCAGCAUAUAAUGUUGGCUGUCCAGAUGCCUAAAAAGCAUCUGUUAGCAAGGGCCGGGCAAGACCGGUGCCAGCCGCCGCGGUAACACCGGCGGCCCGAGUGGUAACCGCUAUUAUUGGGUCUAAAGGGUCUGUAGCCGGCCAGGUAAGUCCCUUGGGAAAUCUGGCAGCUCAACUGUCAGGCUGCUAGGGGAUACUGUUUGGCUUGGGACCGGGAGAGGUGAGAGGUACCUUGGGGGUAGGGGUGAAAUCUUGUGAUCCCCGGGGGACCACCAGUGGCGAAGGCGUCUCACCAGAACGGGUCCGACGGUAAGGGACGAAAGCUAGGGGCACGAACCGGAUUAGAUACCCGGGUAGUCCUAGCCGUAAACGAUGCUCGCUAGGUGUCAGUCACGGUGCGACCGUGAUUGGUGCCGUAGGGAAGCCGUGAAGCGAGCCACCUGGGAAGUAUGGCCGCAAGGCUGAAACUUAAAGGAAUUGGCGGGGGAGCACUACAACGGGUGGAGCCUGCGGUUUAAUUGGAUUCAACGCCGGAAAUCUCACCGGGGGCGACAGCGAUAUGAAGGUCAGGCUGAAGACCUUACCGGAUUAGCUGAGAGGUGGUGCAUGGCCGUCGUCAGUUCGUACUGUGAAGCAUCCUGUUAAGUCAGGCAACGAGCGAGACCCACGUCCACAGUUGCCAGCAUACCCUCUGGGGUGAUGGGUACACUGUGGAGACCGCCGCUGCUAAAGCGGAGGAAGGAGUGGGCAACGGUAGGUCAGUAUGCCCCGAAUCUCCCGGGCUACACGCGGGCUACAAUGGUUGGUACAAUGGGCAUCUACCCCGAAAGGGGAAGGUAAUCUCUUAAAGCCAAUCGUAGUUCGGAUUGAGGGCUGCAACUCGCCCUCAUGAAGCUGGAAUCCGUAGUAAUCGCGUUUCAACAGAACGCGGUGAAUACGUCCGUUCUCCUUGCACGAAUUCGCCGAAUCCCGCG
RNAcentral lists this ribosomal RNA (1052 nucleotides) under uncultured Methanosaeta sp. RNAcentral describes it as "bacterial SSU rRNA". It matches the Rfam family "Archaeal small subunit ribosomal RNA", at positions 308 to 1364 of the family's 1478-position model. The record is from RNAcentral. Lineage: Archaea; Methanobacteriati; Methanobacteriota; Methanomicrobia; Methanotrichales; Methanotrichaceae.